AGCCCGGUGGUGUAGCGGUCAAGCAUAGCGGGCUUUGGACCCGUUGACGCCAGUUCGAAUCUGGCCCGGGCUACCA
RNAcentral lists this transfer RNA (76 nucleotides) under Candidatus Bathyarchaeota archaeon. RNAcentral describes it as "tRNA-Gln". It matches the Rfam family "tRNA". Rfam says of the family: Transfer RNA (tRNA) molecules are approximately 80 nucleotides in length. Their secondary structure includes four short double-helical elements and three loops (D, anti-codon, and T loops). RNAcentral also lists the same sequence under 1 other name. Lineage: Archaea; Thermoproteati; Candidatus Bathyarchaeota. The record is from RNAcentral.